Molecule: long non-coding RNA, 1538 nt
Organism: Sapajus apella (tufted capuchin)
Lineage: Eukaryota; Metazoa; Chordata; Mammalia; Primates; Cebidae
Exons: 2
Source: RefSeq, a predicted model, not a curated record
GUGCUGAAUUGUUGGUUCUCCUGGGGAAAGCUCUAGGGUGGAGCUAGCAAAAUAUCAAGAUAGCAGGUGUCACAACUGCCUCUCAGUCUGAGGAUCGUCCUCUACAUAUUCCUGCUCCCUCUCCCCUCCUCUCCCUUAUUCCUUCCCAUGUCCCCCACCCCAGUCUCUCAAAUAUCUACUUUCAUCUUCAAAUCUGCUUCUUGGAAAUCAUGAACAAAAGAGGAUUUGCAUUUGAUAAGAUCCAAAGAGAGAAGAAGGGGAUAAUCCAUAUAUUUCUGAAACUGGUUACCAGGUGCUUUUUUUUUUUUUUUGACUGAACACCUGAUGGAGCUGUUGGAAUGAAGUCACAUAUGAGGUGAUACAGACUGGCUUCCCCUUUUGGGGCAGUGCCCAGGAGGGACAGAUGACUCAUCAUAGUGUGGAUGGAUGGGGGUGGAGGAUCCUGGCUCCAUCUUGGAACACAGGAUAAUUAGGGGUGAGAAGGAAUAGACAGAUCCACACAAACAACCUGCUCCACCUCCAAGUUUCUCAGCUGAGCUUGAGGUGAGACAUCAGCUCAGCAGAGAAAGACUGAGGUUGUGCGCUCAAUUCCCUUUGCACUUUCCAUUCGGGUUUUGGGGUAUAUUUCUGGGACCCCUCAUGUCUUUCAGGGUUUCCCUGAAUAUUCAUUAGUCCAGCAUCCCUGGAGGGAAAAGAUGAGGGACUUUGCUUGGUUUCGUACCAGGCAAAGCUGUAGACCAUCAGAGCUUCAGACCAUUCCCUUGUUUGUAGCUGGGCCAGUGUGAGUGUGAAAAGCAAGGGAGGUGGGGCAGAGGGACCGUGGACAGCACCCAAGUGUGAGUCACAUCUCCACCAUCAGGUUUAGAACCUAUGAACUGGAAAUCUUAGAAAAUCAUCAUAAAAUUAUACUGGCUUUUUUGCCCUAAGCACUGUGGAGACAGAUUCUUGCAGAAAUCUUGCCUUGCCCAACCCAGCCCAUGACCUUCCCCACCACAGGGAAAGCACUGGUUAAGGAGGUGAUUCAGAGUUAAGAGGUGAUUCAGAGUUAGGUUCCCCAGGUGCGUCCAUUGAUGAGUGACCUCUCCUUGGCAACAGGGACAUACUUUUGUCGUUCAGGGAGAAACACUGAGCUAGGAGGUAGAAGCUCUGGGCCCUGCUUUUGAUGCUUACACAAACUUACUUUGUAGCUUUGAGCAAGGCAGCCAGCCUCUCCCCCUCAGUGUCCUGUGCAGCCAAACGGAUUGACCUGUGAGGCAAUGCGUGUCCCAGCUCUGCCGUUCCUCAUAUCACCAGUCAUUGUCCUAAUAAAAAACUGGCACUGGAACAUAGCAAUGCAAUUGCAUGUUUGAAAUCGAGGUUGUCCUUGUAAGUCUGGGUAGCCAUCUUUGCAGCAUCGGCUCUUUCAAAAGAAAACUAUUUUCAGAAAUAUUUCAUUUGAAAAAUCCCCAUUUAUCAGGAAGACUUAAUAAAGCAACUUCUGUAGACACAGAAGCACAUUAUCGCCUACUUACUUCAGAGUUAGGUUACCAGGCAUAUUC